GACGAACGCUGGCGGCGUGCUUAACACAUGCAAGUCGAACGGUGAAGCGCCUUCCUUUUUGGUGGGUGUGGGUGAGUGGCGAACGGGUGAGUAACACGUGAGUAACCUGCCCCCUUCUUCUGGAUAACCGCAUGAAAGUGUGGCUAAUACGGGAUAUUCUGGGUCUGUCGCAUGAUGGGUCUGGGAAAGAUAUUGUUUCGGUGGGGGAUGGGCUCGCGGCCUAUCAGCUUGUUGGUGGGGUGAUGGCCUACCAAGGCGGUGACGGGUAGCCGGCCUGAGAGGGUGGACGGUCACACUGGGACUGAGACACGGCCCAGACUCCUACGGGAGGCAGCAGUGGGGAAUAUUGCACAAUGGGCGCAAGCCUGAUGCAGCGACGCCGCGUGAGGGAUGGAGGCCUUCGGGUUGUGAACCUCUUUCGCCAGUGAAGCAGGCCUGCCUCGUUUGUGGGUGGGUUGACGGUAGCUGGAUAAGAAGCGCCGGCUAACUACG
This 492-nucleotide ribosomal RNA is filed under the name uncultured bacterium. RNAcentral describes it as "partial 16S ribosomal RNA". It matches the Rfam family "Bacterial small subunit ribosomal RNA", at positions 28 to 505 of the family's 1533-position model. The record is from RNAcentral.